AAGCCGGUGCUCCGGCCUGUUGGUUUGCUUUGCAGCAGUGGGGAUUGAACCCAAGGCCUUUACAGCGAGCUAAAUCCCCAUUCUAAGCUGGGCUUAAAUUUGGGCUCUUCCUAUCUCAGCCUCCCUGUACCCCUGUUACGUGACAGAGGGGAGACACAGCUGUUCUCCAUCCUGGAUCCAAGCUCACACAUUGCGAUUCUUGGCCCCUCCUGUGACUGUGGCCUUGUCUUUGUGUGAAUUCGUUUUUGUCCUCAAGGUCAUGGCUUGACCUUGACCUGAGGCCCAGUUUUCCCUCAGAGAGGAUUCACUCUGCUUCUGUUUCCCCAGAAUGUCCCUAAAGGCUCAGAGCCAGCACCCCAAGUUAGCCUAGCACCACCCACAUCCACCAAGUUCUUUUGGAGACCCACAGCACUGCCAUGGGAACCAGGCCCUACAUCCUCACCCACCUGCCCAGUCCCCUCGGUGCCCAGCACCUGCCCAGCUCACGUUCCUGUCCACUGUCUUCUGUGUACAGGGGCAUCCCGGUUCCAGAACCUUCUCUUUCUCCUCCUAGGAGACUGGAGACCUGCACAGAACUGGCUCCCUCGGCUCUGUGGCCGGGGGCCGGCGCGCCCCUCAGCACCCCAAUCCCAGCACCCUGUGCAGCUGGAAGUCAGGACCCGAGCCGUGACAUCUCAGGGCCCACACAGAACCUGGGCCCGCUGGAGCCGCCUGGGCCCUCCCGGGAUUUGCGGAUUUCUUCCUUUUUUUCUGUUUUGCUUUAUUUCCUUGUUUUGUUUCUCUGAGACAGGGUCUGGGGACACAGUCCAGGCUGCCCUCAACCCACAGCUAUCCUGUCUCAGCCUCCAGAGUGCUGGGCAGACAGGCGUGCACCCCCAGGCCUGGCUCCUGCCCCUGUCAAAGCUUCUCUGCUUUGCCAACUGCCAGGCGUUGGGGGACCCUGGGGACGGAGGGGGCUGGAAACUGGGCCAGGCUCUGGGGUCCAGGCUGAGACCUCGGGCUCUGGGCAGGGCGUGGCAGGCGGACCGAGGAGAGGCCCGGCUUCUGCGACUGCCUUGACUGGGGGUAGCAGACUGUGCUCACUCCUUCGUCUGCUCACUGUUUAUUUUAUUUUUGCAGGUUUCCUUGUUCCUACUGUUCGGCCAGGUGAGACUCCCGGAAAUGAAAGGCUGAAGUGAGCACCUUGAAGAUGAAGGCGCAAAGCAGCCUUGAAGGCAAAGGACGAUAACAGCAGGAGGCCCGGUGAUGUCAAACCCUGGAUCCAGGCCUGUCGUCCCAGCAGGGGGGAAGCUGAGGCAGGAAGAUCUCUGUGAGUUCAAGGCCAGCCUGCUCUGCAUAGAGAGGCCCCGUCUCAGCAAUAUAGAAACCGGCAUGAGGAGGAAGAGUGGAGCGGAGCUCAGAGCAAAGGGGCUGGUUCAAUUCCAUGCCAUCAAAAGAGCCAGAGCGAGAGAGAGAGAGAGGUAUGCCGGCCACUGAACCAGUGCUCAGAUGGGAGAGGCCAGUUGUGCCCCUGGCUGAGACCUGGACACCUGAUCGGCUCUGCCACCUGCCCUGCCCUGCACCGACCUGGAUCUGAAUGGCUUCCAUGGAGCCAGGACCUGGCUGUCAGCCUCGCUGCCCACUGCCCUCGGAAGCCCCGGGGGCUCCAUGUCCCUCCCCAGCAAUUCUGGGCGCGUCCCCCAGGGGGCUCUGGCUGGGCCCCCGGAUGCAGACAGUCAGGGCCUGCAGGGCAAAGGAAGCAGCUCAAGACUUCCACCUCUGGCUGAAAUCCAGCAGAGUCCCCAGCCACGUGGCUUUGUAGGAUGAGUCGUCCCCACCCCACCCCGGUCACCUCUGGACCUGUAGAGAGGGACCGCAGGCUUCCUGCUGAUAACCCUGCCCGCCAGGCACCCCUGCCCACAGCCCGGAAGCUGGGCUCUAUCUCCCCUGCGAGGACAGAGCCAGGCUGGAAUGUGUCCCCUGAUAAGGGCACCGAGCAGCGGGCAGGGUGGGCUGCCUGUCUGGGGCUCUCAGCACAGAGGCGCUGACUGAUAAGGGCUCUGUGGGGCCUCUGGGACUGAAGGGCCCAGGACGCCAGCCUGGCUGGGAUCUGAGAAGGGGCCCGGAUGUGGACCCCUGUUUGGGAGCCAGCCCUGGGCAAGCCGUGUGCACAGGCCAAGUCCCCGCAGGCUCCAGGCCAGGGAACGGGGGAUGGGCCGGAUGAUGAAAUUCUACUCGUGGUGGCACCAGCCUGACUUCCCGCUCUCUAGAGGCUGAGGCAGGAGGGUUGCUGCGAAUUCGAGCCCAGCCUGGGCUACACAGUGAGUUCAAGGCCAGCCUGGGCUACAGUGAGGCCCUGUCUCAGAAAUACAAAACUAAGCAAAGCAGAGCAAACAGAAAAGUACAUCUAAGAUUCUGGGCACCAGGUGACAGAGAAGGGAUCUGAAGGGAGCCUGCAGCAGCCAGAGGUGUUGGGGGAACACAGGGCCGCCUCCUGGAGGCUGGGCACAGGGGCCCUGUCUUUCUUUCCUUCAGUACUGAGGCUGAGACCCAGAGCCCUCUCGGUGAUCUCCCUCCCCAGCCCCUUUUCAUGUUUUGAGACACAGGCUUUUUUUUUUUUUUUUUGUCUUUUUCCUUUUUAUCGGUACCGGGGAUCAAACUCAUGACUGCCUGCUUGCAAGGCAGGGGCUUUUGCCGCUGAGCUAAAUCCCCAUCCCCUAUUGAGACACAGUCUUGCUAAACCACUAGGUUGCCUGAGCCAGGCUCAAAUUUGUGAUCCUCCUGCCUCAGCCUCCUAAAGUGCUAGGAUUACAGGUGGGCAUGGCCACGCAAGAUGGGGCUGUGUCUUCAUUAACUGUCAUGGCCUCCCCAUGGACCCCAAUACUCUCCAAGUGUUCUUCCCAUCUGUGGGUCCCCACUGCACAUGACUGGAGUCCCUGGGACCCACAGAACCCAGCGCCCCAGCUGAGCCUCUCAGCUGCGGCUAGGCCCGUGUGGAGUCAGGUGGCAGCUCUGUGACCUCGGCCCGUGCUGUUUCCUGGUGGGACCUCGGUCUCUAGGACAGGGCUGGCCUGUAGCAGGCUCUCAGAGGAGGAAUUUCACAGCCAGGAACAGUGGUACCACUGAAAUCCUAGCACUCUGGAAGCUGAAGCAGGAAGAUCUCAAAUUUUAGCCCAGCCUGGACAACUCAGCCACUUAGUGAGACCCUGUCUCAAAAGUAAUUUUUUAAAAAAGUGGGCUGUGAAUACAGCUCAGUGCAAAGGUCCCCAGUACCCCCAAAACUGCAAUUUCCAUAAGAAAUGUAUGGGAGCUUGUCCCACGCCUGCCCUGAGUCCUGUGAUGCCGAAACCCAAGCCCUGGCUCAGGGAGCAUUCCUAGGCUGGUAGCUCCUGGCCAGGGCAGCUGUGCCUCCUCCCGGCGCUGAGCUGGGGGCUCCCAGCCCCACGGGGCCAGUCCUGAGCUCCUUCUCUGGCCGUCACUUCCACACGGUCUCGGUCCCCAUCUGAAAAGUGGGGUCCCCCCUGAGUCUGUGGAUCCUGACCCUGCUUGAGGACUUCAGGAGGUAGCUGUCACACAGGGCAGAGCCCGGGGAAUGAGCGGGUUAUCUGUCCCCUGGCACCACUGUCCCUCGGAUCCGGGCUCCCGGUUUCUCCGUUGGAUUCCAGCUCCGCCGCGCCUCCUCGUGGUCAAAUGUGAUGUUGCAGCGGCUGCCAACACCGCGUCCAACGCACUUUCCGACCAAUGCCAACUCUGCGCCCUGGCGUGGCAAGCGGCAAGAGGACAUCCACAGCUUGGGAGGCUGAGGCAGGAGGGUUGCCCGAACUGCACAAUGAGUUCAAGGCGGGCUGGAGCCACACAAAGCCUGACUCAGACCAAACAAAAAAGGGGAAAAAGUUAGGUGUUGCCUCUUAAUUUUUAAAAAGACGUUAAUUUGUAAUACAUGUAUAGUCAUUUGUUUGGCCUCAAAACCAAUGUGACCCCACAGAAAACAGUGAAAUAUCUUUUGGGUUUUUGUUUUUUGAGACAGGGUCUAUCUAGUCCAGGCCAACCUCAAACUCACGGAAAUCACCCGGCUUCGCCUCCCAGGAGCUGGGUGACAGGUGUGGGUCACUAGACCCCGUGAUGAUAUCUUAAGGUCAUACCCAGUACACUGGCCUCUGACACUGGCCACCUGGCCACCUUCUAACUCUGGAGCAAGGCACUUGGCCCUCCUGGCUGCCACAGCCCAUAGCCCCAGGCACCAGGAGGAGAAUUGUUCUGCCUUGGGCUGAGACCAGGUUUAAAUCAAGAAUUUAUUUUUGAAGCUGGGUAUGGAAGCACAUGCCUGUAGUUCCAGCCCUUGGAGGCUGAGGCAGGAGGAUCACCAAGAAUUCGUGACCAGCCUGGGGAACACAGUGAGGUCAAGCCGGGAAUAACACAGAGUGAGACCAGAACAGGGGGAGAACACAGAGGGGUUCAGAGGGAGGACGGCUGGGGACCCAGGAGGGGCCAAUGAGUGCCGGAGAUGGGAGGGCAGUGGCUCUCAAGAGGCAAGGCACUGAGGCCCCCAGAGAGGAGCUGGAGAGAGGGUGGGCAGCCCUGUGGCUGGCCCAAGGGCUCCUGGUCCAGAGUGGACACCCACGCGGUGUGCACUGGGCUGGAGGCUCCGAGGGAAAGCCUAGAGCUCCUGACCUUCUCAUCACUUCUCUGGCAUCACUUCUCUGGUUCAGAACUGCAAGGCCCCCUCCGCUUUCUCUCCAACGUUUCCGUCCCUUUUGCACAUUUAUUUUCUGUAGCCUACAGCACAAAACAGUUUUGGAUUAAAAAGUAAUACAGCAAA
This is a long non-coding RNA of Cavia porcellus (domestic guinea pig), 4798 nucleotides long. RefSeq lists it as uncharacterized. Lineage: Eukaryota; Metazoa; Chordata; Mammalia; Rodentia; Caviidae. The transcript is spliced from 2 exons. The record is from RefSeq and is a predicted model, not a curated record.